This 468-nucleotide ribosomal RNA is filed under the name uncultured bacterium. RNAcentral describes it as "partial 16S ribosomal RNA". It matches the Rfam family "Bacterial small subunit ribosomal RNA", at positions 28 to 507 of the family's 1533-position model. The record is from RNAcentral.
GAUGAACGCUGGCGGCGUGCUUAACACAUGCAAGUCGAACGGUGAAGGCGGAGCUUGCUCUGCUGGAUCAGUGGCGAACGGGUGAGUAACACGUGAGCAAUCUGCCCCUGACUCUGGGAUAAGCGCUGGAAACGGCGUCUAAUACUGGAUACGAGCUGCUAAGGCAUCUUCAGCAGCUGUAAAGAACUUCGGUCAGGGAUGAGCUCGCGGCCUAUCAGCUUGUUGGUGAGGUAACGGCUCACCAAGGCGUCGACGGGUAGCCGGCCUGAGAGGGUGACCGGCCACACUGGGACUGAGACACGGACCAGACUCCUACGGGAGGCAGCAGUGGGGAAUAUUGCACAAUGGGCGAAAGCCUGAUGCAGCAACGCCGCGUGAGGGACGACGGCCUUCGGGUUGUAAACCUCUUUUAGCAGGGAAGAAGCGAAAGUGACGGUACCUGCAGAAAAAGCGACGGCUAACUACGUG